GAUGAACGCUGGCGGCGUGCCUAAUACAUGCAAGUCGAGCGAACAGACGAGGAGCUUGCUCCUCUGACGUUAGCGGCGGACGGGUGAGUAACACGUGGAUAACCUACCUAUAAGACUGGGAUAACUUCGGGAAACCGGAGCUAAUACCGGAUAAUAUAUUGAACCGCAUGGUUCAAUAGUGAAAGACGGUUUUGCUGUCACUUAUAGAUGGAUCCGCGCCGCAUUAGCUAGUUGGUAAGGUAACGGCUUACCAAGGCAACGAUGCGUAGCCGACCUGAGAGGGUGAUCGGCCACACUGGAACUGAGACACGGUCCAGACUCCUACGGGAGGCAGCAGUAGGGAAUCUUCCGCAAAGGGCGAAAGCUUGACGGAGCAACGCCGCAUGAGUGAUGAAGGUCUUCGGAUCGUAAAACUCUGUUAUUAGGGAAGAACAAAUGUGUAAGUAACUAUGCACGUCUUGACGGUACCUAAUCAGAAAGCCACGGCUAACUACGUG
Molecule: ribosomal RNA, 497 nt
Filed under: uncultured bacterium
Lineage: Bacteria
Description: partial 16S ribosomal RNA
Rfam family: Bacterial small subunit ribosomal RNA
Source: RNAcentral